AAACAUUUUUCAGCUUAUUUCUAGGGGGGUUUGCUAGGAAAUCUAGAUAGGUUUCUGGGUCUUCUGCAUCUUUUGAGGAAAUUAAUCAAGAACCCUUGAAUGAUCAAACAAAGCCUGGAUUCUCUUUCUGAUUUCAACUAGUAUUUUUUUUUAACAUUUCCAGCAUUUCAACUCGUAGCUGCAGCCGCCAUAACCCAUAACCUAUUUUUUCCACUUUUUGUAGAGAGCAGCUGAUAUUUGCGGCCGUAUUAGUUUAAUAUUUAUGCGUCAGGGCCUAACAGUGUCUAGGGUUUCUUUUCUUUCUCGAGCCACUUUCUCUAUGGCUUUGAUUUGAUAAACUGCUAGGGUUCUUAAUCAGUUUAAUGAUUUCUUUUCAUCAGCUUUGUCCUCUUCUACUUUGGAUACACAUCUCAAGAAUCGCACACAAGAUCCUUAAAAGCUUUUGUUUCGCCACAUGUCCAUCAGCCUUUUGUUUCCUUUGUUUUCCAUUUAAUACAAUACAAUUCUAACUGAUUCAGUCACUUCAAUGCUGCUUCUUUUUCCUUCCCUCACCCCCCACCACCCUCUCUCUCUCUCUCUCUC
Molecule: unclassified non-coding RNA, 582 nt
Filed under: Hevea brasiliensis (rubber tree)
Lineage: Eukaryota; Viridiplantae; Streptophyta; Magnoliopsida; Malpighiales; Euphorbiaceae
Source: RNAcentral